CGAUUGACGUAGACAGCGAAUUAAAAGUAGUGUAAAAGAGACGAACGACGCUGAUGUUGCCAUUCCAAUAAUAAUGAAAAAAGAAAACACAAGCAAAGAAAACAAAAGCAAAAAAGUGCUCAGCAAUACUACAAAAAUAAAAGUCAACAGCGAUAAAAAAAACACAUUUAUGCGAACUAGUGUAAUUAAAUGUUGUGGCGACUGACAACUCUGACGUCGCCACCAGCACCAUCAUCUCUAUACACAAUCGACGAAGUCCAACCAGAAAAAUUAGCUUUACGAUAAAGCAACAAAAAAAACUACAAAAACCACUGGGUUACAGUAAAACAUGCUGAGUUUUGUUUAAACUUAGGAGCAGAUUUAAAGCAAUCAAUUCUUUAAUAGCUCUGUAUAGAAAACAUUUCUAUUUACUAGGAGGGAAAAAACCAGAGAAAAGGGAAAGCAAUACGUAAAAAUACAGGGAAAAUGACAUUAGCUAAGGCACAGAGAACUUAUUCCAUAUACAAUUAGUUCGACAGUAUGAGUUGGAUGUGUUUUUUAAUUGUUCGUAUUGAGUGGACUAGGCAUUUUGUUUAUUUUUAAUGAAUAGAUAAGAAUGAAUAAUGUAUCUAUGAAUAUUGUUAAACAAAUAUAUACUUUUUUAAAUAAAAUCCAUGGACAAUAAUAUAGUUCCACACUUAAA
Long non-coding RNA from Lucilia cuprina (Australian sheep blowfly), 682 nucleotides. RefSeq lists it as uncharacterized. The record is from RefSeq and is a predicted model, not a curated record. The transcript has 2 exons. Lineage: Eukaryota; Metazoa; Arthropoda; Insecta; Diptera; Calliphoridae.